Long non-coding RNA from Oncorhynchus tshawytscha (Chinook salmon), 277 nucleotides. RefSeq lists it as uncharacterized. The transcript is spliced from 2 exons. The record is from RefSeq and is a predicted model, not a curated record. Lineage: Eukaryota; Metazoa; Chordata; Actinopteri; Salmoniformes; Salmonidae.
AGUGAGUGAGGUAGGCAGGUAGGUGAGUGAGGUAGGCGAGUGAGUGAGUGGUGUUUUUGUCUUCGAUGCUACAAACAGUUUGGUUCGCUAGCCUAUAGGCCUACGUGGUGGUCAGAAAUGGUUUGCACCUAAUAUUUAUUAUUUCAUUAAUCAUGGAAUGUACUUGAAUGCUUGUAGCACUGCUUGAAGAUACCACAUGAUGUAUAUACAUGUAUUAAACUGUACCAUUUUAUUUUAAGGGAAUGUGAUUUAAUAAAUACAUAUUUAUGGAGUUUGA